Molecule: long non-coding RNA, 487 nt
Filed under: Brassica napus (rape)
Lineage: Eukaryota; Viridiplantae; Streptophyta; Magnoliopsida; Brassicales; Brassicaceae
Description: long non-coding RNA (BNAP_LNC001248)
Source: RNAcentral
UUCUACAUUGUAUAAAGUCAAAUGAAAUAUAAUGAAAUAAUGAAAUAUAAUACUAAGAAACAACUCUAGGUAAAAAAAAAUACUACUAAGAAACAGUUACUUGUACCCUUAUUUACAAAAGAAACAGAAAAGUUACAAAACUAAAAAGAAAAAAAAGGGGUUGAAAAAAUUGAGGUUUGUAGUAUAUAUUUUUAUUUCGAAAUUUAAGUUGAUGACCAAAAGGUUAAAGAGUGUUUAUUUACUGAUAACAUAAUAAUUUAUGAAAACAAAAUUCAAGAUUAUAUGGGGAUAAGUAAACACAUCAACGUGACAGUUCAGAACCAGGAUUAAAUUGACGUCGACCUUUUUAGCUAGCAGGUGAGUAGGUGACUACUUUGUACCACUACCGUGGAUGAGAGAGUAUAUUAUCGUAGACGUCGAAUAGUGACAUAUAUAGUUUUUUUUUGGCUUAAAAUGACUUAUAUAUAGUUAAAUGCUACUGUUUUAU